Molecule: ribosomal RNA, 612 nt
Filed under: Acinetobacter sp.
Lineage: Bacteria; Pseudomonadati; Pseudomonadota; Gammaproteobacteria; Moraxellales; Moraxellaceae
Description: partial 16S ribosomal RNA
Rfam family: Bacterial small subunit ribosomal RNA
Source: RNAcentral
AAGUCGGAUUAGCUAGUUGGUGGGGUAAAGGCCUACCAAGGCGACGAUCUGUAGCGGGUCUGAGAGGAUGAUCCGCCACACUGGGACUGAGACACGGCCCAGACUCCUACGGGAGGCAGCAGUGGGGAAUAUUGGACAAUGGGGGGAACCCUGAUCCAGCCAUGCCGCGUGUGUGAAGAAGGCCUUWUGGUUGUAAAGCACUUUAAGCGAGGAGGAGGCUMYYUURGUUAAUACCYARRRAKAGUGGACGUUACUCGCAGAAUAAGCACCGGCUAACUCUGUGCCAGCAGCCGCGGUAAUACAGAGGGUGCGAGCGUUAAUCGGAUUUACUGGGCGUAAAGCGUGCGUAGGYGGCYWWUUAAGUCRRAUGUGAAAUCCCCGAGCUUAACUUGGGAAUUGCAUUCGAUACUGGKWRGCUAGAGUAUGGGAGAGGAUGGUAGAAUUCCAGGUGUAGCGGUGAAAUGCGUAGAGAUCUGGAGGAAUACCGAUGGCGAAGGCAGCCAUCUGGCCUAAUACUGACRCUGAGGUACGAAAGCAUGGGGAGCAAACAGGAUUAGAUACCCUGGUAGUCCAUGCCGUAAACGAWRUSUACUAGCCGUUGGGGYCUUUGAG